RNAcentral lists this ribosomal RNA (482 nucleotides) under uncultured bacterium. RNAcentral's name for it is "partial 16S ribosomal RNA". It matches the Rfam family "Bacterial small subunit ribosomal RNA", at positions 30 to 507 of the family's 1533-position model. The record is from RNAcentral.
AUUGAACGCUGGCGGCAUGCCUUACACAUGCAAGUCGAACGGUAACGGGCCUUCGGGUGCCGACGAGUGGCGAACGGGUGAGUAAUACAUCGGAACGUGCCCGAUCGUGGGGGAUAACGAGGCGAAAGCUUUGCUAAUACCGCAUACGAUCUACGGAUGAAAGCAGGGGACCGCAAGGCCUUGCGCGGACGGAGCGGCCGAUGGCAGAUUAGGUAGUUGGUGGGAUGAAAGCUUACCAAGCCGACGAUCUGUAGCUGGUCUGAGAGGAUGAUCAGCCACACUGGGACUGAGACACGGCCCAGACUCCUACGGGAGGCAGCAGUGGGGAAUUUUGGACAAUGGGCGCAAGCCUGAUCCAGCCAUGCCGCGUGCAGGAUGAAGGCCUUCGGGCUGUAAACUGCUUUUGUACGGAACGAAAAGCCUUCUUUUAAUACAGGAGGGUCAUGACGGUACCGUAAGAAUAAGCACCGGCUAACUACGUG